AGCGAACGUUUGCGCGGGCUUAACACAUGCAAGUCGAACGGGCUGUUCCUUCGGGGGCAGUCAGUGGCGCACGGGUGAGUAACACGUAGAUGACCUUCCCUGGAGUGGUGGAUAACCUGCCGAAAGGCGGGCUAAUACAGCAUGGGACCACAUGGUUUUGACCGAGUGGUGAAAGCGGGCCUCUGUUCACAAGCUCGCGCUCUGGGAUGGGUCUGCGUCCCAUCAGCUAGUUGGUGAGGUAAUGGCUCACCAAGGCAUCGACGGGUAGCUGGUCUGAGAGGAUGACCAGCCACACUGGAACUGAGACACGGUCCAGACUCCUACGGGAGGCAGCAGUGGGGAAUCUUGCGCAAUGGGCGAAAGCCUGACGCAGCGACGCCGCGUGGGUGAUGAAGGCCUUCGGGUUGUAAAGCCCUGUGGGAGGAACGAACCGUACGGGGGCGAACACCCUCCGUACCUGACGGUACCUCCUUAGCAAGCAUCGGCUAACUC
This 492-nucleotide ribosomal RNA is filed under the name uncultured bacterium. RNAcentral's name for it is "bacterial SSU rRNA". It matches the Rfam family "Bacterial small subunit ribosomal RNA", at positions 28 to 503 of the family's 1533-position model. The record is from RNAcentral.